UACGUAGGGUGCAAGCGUUAAUCGGAAUUACUGGGCGUAAAGCGUGCGCAGGCGGUUUUGUAAGUCUGUCGUGAAAGCCCCGGGCUCAACCUGGGAAUUGCGAUGGAGACUGCAAGGCUUGAAUCUGGCAGAGGGGGGUAGAAUUCCACGUGUAGCAGUGAAAUGCGUAGAGAUGUGGGGGAACACCGAUGGCGAAGGCAGCCCCCUGGGUCAAGAUUGACGCUCAUGCACGAAAGCGUGGGGAGCGAACAGG
Molecule: ribosomal RNA, 253 nt
Filed under: uncultured bacterium
Lineage: Bacteria
Description: partial 16S ribosomal RNA
Rfam family: Bacterial small subunit ribosomal RNA
Source: RNAcentral